CCUACGGGAGGCAGCAGUAGGGAAUCUUCCACAAUGGACGAAAGUCUGAUGGAGCAACGCCGCGUGAGUGAAGAAGGGUUUCGGCUCGUAAAGCUCUGUUGGUAGUGAAGAAAGAUAGGGGUAGUAACUGGCCUUUAUUUGACGGUAAUUACUUAGAAAGUCACGGCUAACUACGUGCCAGCAGCCGCGGUAAUACGUAGGUGGCAAGCGUUGUCCGGAUUUAUUGGGCGUAAAGCGAGUGCAGGCGGUUCAAUAAGUCUGAUGUGAAAGCCUUCGGCUCAACCGGAGAAUUGCAUCAGAAACUGUUGAACUGGAGUGCAGAAGAGGAGGGUGGAAUUCCAUGUGUAGCGGUGGAAUGCGUAGAUAUAUGGAAGAACACCAGUGGCGAAGGCGGCUCUCUGGUCUGUAACUGACGUUGAGGCUCGAAAGCGUGGGGAGCAAAUAGGAUUAGAUACCCGUGUAGUC
This 465-nucleotide ribosomal RNA is filed under the name uncultured bacterium. Its description in RNAcentral is "partial 16S ribosomal RNA". It matches the Rfam family "Bacterial small subunit ribosomal RNA", at positions 338 to 795 of the family's 1533-position model. The record is from RNAcentral.